UUAGAAAGAAGGGACUCGAACCCAUAUUGUGGAGAUCAAAACCCCAAAGUGUUUCCAUUACACCACUUCCUA
RNAcentral lists this transfer RNA (72 nucleotides) under Pangasianodon hypophthalmus (striped catfish). RNAcentral's name for it is "tRNA-Gln". Lineage: Eukaryota; Metazoa; Chordata; Actinopteri; Siluriformes; Pangasiidae. The record is from RNAcentral.